GGCGGCNGCUAUACAUGCAAGUCGAGCGCAGGAACCAGAUGAUCCCUUCGGGGUGAAUCUGGCGGAAUGAGCGGCGGACGGGUGAGUAACACGUGGGCAACCUGCCUGUAAGACUGGGAUAACUUCGGGAAACCGGAGCUAAUACCGGAUAGUAUUUUCUUUCUCCUGAUUGAAAAUGGAAAGACGGUUUCGGCUGUCACUUACAGAUGGGCCCGCGGUGCAUUAGCUAGUUGGUGGGGUAAUGGCCCACCAAGGCGACGAUGCAUAGCCGACCUGAGAGGGUGAUCGGCCACACUGGGACUGAGACACGGCCCAGACUCCUACGGGAGGCAGCAGUAGGGAAUCUUCCGCAAUGGACGAAAGUCUGACGGAGCAACGCCGCGUGAGCGAUGAAGGCCUUCGGGUCGUAAAGCUCUGUUGUUAGGGAAGAACAAGUACGAGAGUAACUGCUCGUACCUUGACGGUACCUAACCAGAAAGCCCCGGCUAACUACGUGCCAGCAGCCGCGGUAAUACGUAGGGGGCAAGCGUUGUCCGGAAUUAUUGGGCGUAAAGGGCUCGUAGGCGGUUUCUUAAGUCUGAUGUGAAAGCCCACAGCUCAACUGUGGAGGGUCAUUGGAAACUGGGGAACUUGAGUGCAGAAGAGGAGAGUGGAAUUCCACGUGUAGCGGUGAAAUGCGUAGAUAUGUGGAGGAACACCAGUGGCGAAGGCGACUCUCUGGUCUGUAACUGACGCUGAGGAGCGAAAGCGUGGGGAGCAAACAGGAUUAGAUACCCUGGUAGUCCACGCCGUAAACGAUGAGUGCUAGGUGUUAGGGGGUUUCCGCCCCUUAGUGCUGAAGUUAACGCAUUAAGCACUCCGCCUGGGGAGUACGGCCGCAAGGCUGAAACUCAAAAGAAUUGACGGGGGCCCGCACAAGCGGUGGAGCAUGUGGUUUAAUUCG
This 943-nucleotide ribosomal RNA is filed under the name Terribacillus saccharophilus. RNAcentral's name for it is "bacterial SSU rRNA". It matches the Rfam family "Bacterial small subunit ribosomal RNA", at positions 38 to 953 of the family's 1533-position model. Lineage: Bacteria; Bacillati; Bacillota; Bacilli; Caryophanales; Bacillaceae. The record is from RNAcentral.